RNAcentral lists this long non-coding RNA (1162 nucleotides) under Olea europaea subsp. europaea. Lineage: Eukaryota; Viridiplantae; Streptophyta; Magnoliopsida; Lamiales; Oleaceae. The record is from RNAcentral.
CAAAAAUAUAAACCGACACAACUGUCACUUUCGGGCAUAUGAAAAAACCAUUAUAAACGCAAAAUUCAAUUCAAUUCAGAAUAAGAUUAUGAAGAAAUGAAGUGAAAAGUAAAAGGCAAAAUAUAACUCGAUACUGAAUUUAUAACAAACAGCUAAAGAAAAUGCAAAGCCUUCAAUAUAUAUUCUGAAUGAACAAGAAGUAUACAAAUCAAAAUUUCUAGCUCACUACCAAGUGCAGAUCUUCAGGUUAAACAUCAAAUCAGAAGAAUAAGAUCCGGCAAUCAACUAAAGACUACGGGCAAGCAAACGCUACUCCAAAAAAAUUAACAUAAAAAAAAAUAAUUAAAAAAAUUCAAGUUACAAUGACUUAAUCAUAAAUUCGCUAAGACAAUCUUUAAAAAUCAAACAUUUGCAUAAAUUAUCAAGAUUUUCACCUACAACCGAAUAUGAUGCUAGAUUGUUUCAGAAAGGAAAAACAGAGUAUAGGAAAUGAAAAAAGGGGGGUCAAAAUUCAACAAGAGGUCGUAUUCACAAAGGAAUGUACAAAUAGCAUAAUUCCAACUCGAAAAGCUUCCUUUUUCAUUUUUCCUUUCUGGUGAACUGCCAAAUCAAAUCUGUCUCGACAAAAAAGAUUAAAAAUAAUAUCUGACAGUCAAAUUAAAUGCACAUUAACUAUUUUACCAAGAUCUAGCAAUACUCCAUCACAUUUGACCCAAAAAAAAAAAAAAGAUCAAACCACAACCUACCACAAAGCCAAAUCAAUUAACGGAUCCAUUGGAAUCCAAUAAGAACGGACAUAUAACAUUCACCGUGGUCUCCGAUUCAGUUGAUGCAAGGCAGGAACCUAAUUUUCGCCAAAACAACAACAUCAAUUAUACGUAUACCGUACACAUUUGUAUAUAUACUGUUGGAAUCAUGCCAGACGACGUGGAAACCACGCCGUAAAGGCGAACAAAGUUCCCGACCUGCACCAAGCGAAUCUGAGACGACUGCAACAAAAAGAUAUACUGCAACAAAAAGAUAUGCUACAAUUAGAUCUGUGAGAGACUGUGUGCGCGUGAAAUUUUGAGAAGGGUUUGGCUGAUUUGGAAAAGCUAGUAGGGAUGGUUAUUUAUAGCUGGAUUAAAUCCACGAGAUGUUGCCACGUGUCGGUAUAAAAAAG